GUUUGCUUCUUCAGUUACGAUUCGCACCGCCGCCGUUUAGGCCGUGUCUCCUACCGGCGCCGACCACCAUGGGGGGCCGAUGUUCCAGUCAAUGAUGUGCAUGCUUUCAGCAUCGGGAAAACAACAUUCAUGUGUGGAAUAUGUUGGCUCCAAGUAUGGGUUGCCCCUCACAUGACAUGCAAAAUUAACGACCAGAUGGCUGGGCCUACAGAUUCCGGAGCAGAAACAUGAUCAUCUUGACAUUAGGGGAAUCAUGUGUGUUAGCAGUUGGCAUGAGUAAUGUAAUACUACAGGCAAUAUGUGCCUUUUGGUUUUAGGAGUAACACCCUGUUGAGUUUAGCACAUCAGAACUAUAAUUGUUGUUACA
Long non-coding RNA from Triticum aestivum (bread wheat), 367 nucleotides. RefSeq lists it as uncharacterized. Lineage: Eukaryota; Viridiplantae; Streptophyta; Magnoliopsida; Poales; Poaceae. The transcript has 2 exons. The record is from RefSeq and is a predicted model, not a curated record.